UACGUGAGGGGCGAACGUUGUUCGGUGUCACUGGGCUUAAAGGGUGCGUAGGUGGUUGCGUAAGUAAGGUGUGAAAUCCCUCGGCUUACCCGGGGAAUUGCAUUUUAUACUGCGUGGCUUGAGGACUAAAGGGGAAAAGGGAACUCCAGGUGUAGCGGUGAAAUGCGCAGGAUAUCUGGGGGAAGGCCGGCGGCGAAGGCGCUUUUCUGGUUAGUACCUGACACUGAGGCACGAAAGCGUGGGGAGCAAACAGG
Molecule: ribosomal RNA, 254 nt
Filed under: uncultured bacterium
Lineage: Bacteria
Description: partial 16S ribosomal RNA
Rfam family: Bacterial small subunit ribosomal RNA
Source: RNAcentral